GCGAAUACCGGAGAAUGUUAUCACGGGAGACACACGGCGGGUGCUAACGUCCGUCGUGAAGAGGGAAACAACCCAGACCGCCAGCUAAGGUCCCAAAGUCAUGGUUAAGUGGGAAACGAUGUGGGAAGGCCCAGACAGCCAGGAUGUUGGCUUAGAAGCAGCCAUCAUUUAAAGAAAGCGUAAUAGCUCACUGGUCGAGUCGGCCUGCGCGGAAGAUGUAACGGGGCUAAACCAUGCACCGAAGCUGCGGCAGCGAACGUAUCACCCAAGACAACUUUACGGAGUUGACGAUUGACGGAGCGAAGCGACGUCAAAGCGUAUACAAAGUCGAGUUGGCUUAGGGAUACGUUCGUUGGGUAGGGGAGCGUUCUGUAAGCCUGUGAAGGUGGCCUGUGAGGGUUGCUGGAGGUAUCAGAAGUGCGAAUGCUGACAUAAGUAACGAUAAAGCGGGUGAAAAGCCCGCUCGCCGGAAGACCAAGGGUUCCUGUCCAACGUUAAUCGGGGCAGGGUGAGUCGACCCCUAAGGCGAGGCCGAAAGGCGUAGUCGAUGGGAAACGGGUUAAUAUUCCCGUACUUGGUGUUACUGCGAAGGGGGGACGGAGAAGGCUAUGUUGGCCGGGCGACGGUUGUCCCGGUUUAAGCGUGUAGGUGUGUGUUCCAGGUAAAUCCGGUUCACUUUAACACUGAGGCGUGACGACGAGGCACUACGGUGCUGAAGCAACAAAUGCCCUGCUUCCAGGAAAAGCCUCUAAGCAUCAGGUAACAUCAAAUCGUACCCCAAACCGACACAGGUGGUCAGGUAGAGAAUACCAAGGCGCUUGAGAGAACUCGGGUGAAGGAACUAGGCAAAAUGGUGCCGUAACU
Molecule: ribosomal RNA, 864 nt
Filed under: Salmonella enterica subsp. enterica serovar Enteritidis
Lineage: Bacteria; Pseudomonadati; Pseudomonadota; Gammaproteobacteria; Enterobacterales; Enterobacteriaceae
Description: partial 23S ribosomal RNA
Rfam family: Bacterial large subunit ribosomal RNA
Source: RNAcentral